GAUGAACGCUGGCGGCGUGCCUAAUACAUGCAAGUCGAGCGAACAGAUGAGGAGCUUGCUCCUCUGACGUUAGCGGCGGACGGGUGAGUAACACGUGGAUAACCUACCUAUAAGACUGGGAUAACUUCGGGAAACCGGAGCUAAUACCGGAUAAUAUAUUGAACCGCAUGGUUCAAUAGUGAAAGACGGUUUUGCUGUCACUUAUAGAUGGAUCCGCGCCGCAUUAGCUAGUUGGUAAGGUAACGGCUUACCAAGGCAACGAUGCGUAGCCGACCUGAGAGGGUGAUCGGCCACAUGGGAACGGGGACACGGUCCAGACUCCUACGGGAGGCAGCAGUAGGGAAUCUUCCGCAAUGGGCGAAAGCCUUACGGAGCAACGCCGCGUGAGUGAUGAAGGUCUUCGGAUCGUAAAACUCUGUUAUUAGGGAAGAACAAAUGUGUAAGUAACUAUGCUCGUCUUGACGGUACCUAAUCAGAAAGCCACGGCUAACUACGUG
RNAcentral lists this ribosomal RNA (497 nucleotides) under uncultured bacterium. Its description in RNAcentral is "partial 16S ribosomal RNA". It matches the Rfam family "Bacterial small subunit ribosomal RNA", at positions 28 to 507 of the family's 1533-position model. The record is from RNAcentral.